GUCAUGCUGGAGGUGCCAUCUGUCCAGCAGGAAGACUGUCCCCCUUGUCGGUCCUAAAGCAUUGGCUCCAUAUUUUAUUCACAGCUGGCACCUGCUAUUUUCUGAACGGAGACACAUGAACAGCCAGCAAAGGGAAGCAUGCAGUCCAGGGGCAACUGCAGAUUUUAACUUAGAAGGUUUAAAUUGUGAAGGCUUUCUUAGAAAAGACAGGGACCACAAGAUCAUAAUCAAUAAAAUUAGAAAGCCACUCAACGAUAAGGAAUUGUAAGGACUCUUAGGAAAACACGGAAAUGGUCUAGCAAUUAGCAGAACAACUCAGUAUUUUUUUCAUUUUUCAUAAAAAUUCUACUACAGUUUACAUGAUGAAUAUUCCGCUGUGGCCUAUAUUGUAAAGACCUGGUCCCUAGCCUGAGGCAACAGGAAAUGUUGGAACCUUUAAGAGGCGGGGCCUGGUAGAAGGUAGCUUGGCUUUAGGGAGCAAGCCUUUGACAUUCGGACUCUGGCUCUCUUCUAUCUCUCUGCUUUCGAGCUGUCACACGGUCCAUCCAUCACAAGUGCAGAAGCAAUGGGCCACCCUGCCUCCACACCGUAAGCAAGCCUCUCCUCUUUGAGCGUCUCAGACCUCCCUCCACAGCGACAAGAUCCAGAGAUCAUGAAAUUGCUACUAAUACCCUGAGGUGAGGAAACGCUGCAGAAAACAUCACUACCUUCACAGAGGCCUCUUUACCCUGACCUUUUGACUGGUGGAGAUGCGAAUGUGCUCCAACACUCACAGGGACAGCAGCCUGUCUAUCUCUUGGAGAGGGGUCUCUCCUUCCUCUGCCUUGCAAACCCCACUAAGGAACGAAGAGUCUAGAGCUCUAGUUUCCAGGCGUCUGGCCCUUAAGGUAACAAGGAAGGAUGCCAUUGGAAAUGAAUGCUGAUGGACAAGAAACUGAAGAGCAGAACAGGCAAAAAAAAGGGGGGGCAGGAGAGGAGCAGGAGCAGAGAGUGAAAAGAAGGCGCAAAGGCAGAUUUCAUUUGAGGGCAGAAUCAAGUAAAACAGUUUUGGAAUAGGGACUGCUGAAGCUUCGGAAGGUAAGAGAACAUGGGAGCAAGUAGAUGAUGCGUCAGGCUAACGGCACGGAAGACGUUCAGCUGUGGGGACAAAAGGAAGCACUAGCAUCUUACUCAUAACAUUGACAGGGACCUCAGCAUUAUCUGGACCAAAAUAAGACAACUCUUAUCGUGACGUCUGCCAUUAAAACCACGGAGCUUCGUGAUUCCUCCCACGUGCCCUUUACUGAAUACCACAAAUGAUUCAGGUUGAAUGAAUAGAUUUUUAAAAAUCUUUUUAGAACUACAGCACUCUGUAUAAAUAUUACUAACUGUCAGUCCUUUUUAUCUUGGUGCAGACUUCUGAGUACUGACUCUGAGGAGCUAAAGAAGCCAAAAACAAGAAGGAUGCCCUUGAUUUCUUCCUCUUACAGUUGCCCCAUGGCCCACUCUGGCUUAGGUUGGGAAAAGCUGGGCUUCCCUGCAGGUGGAUAGGUGUCUAUGGCUGGACACCGAGGGGCCAGCAGAGCAUUAGAGAUGAGUGUUGUCCAAAUGGGUGAAGCUUCAGGCCAGUAUUCCCAGGGCAACCUGAGAAGACAAAUGGAGGUAUAAGAAAUCACCAGAAUGAGAUGAGGGAAGACGCACAGUAUGGAGGGUAGGAGGAAGCCUACAGCUUUCCCAAGGAAAGCAAGAGAAGAAGCUCUGAGAGCCAAAUGGGGGAGAACACAGAGCACUUCCUGACAUUAACCAUGGAGACAGAGGCUUAAAGAGCAUGGCUUCUCCAUGAGCUUCUCGGGUAUUUCUCUACCUCUGGUCUUCUCAUCUCUGCUCAAGGCCAUGAAUGCUGAUCAAGAUGGGACCACCACAUCUUGGUUGCCUUCUUCUCCUGGCUGGGGAAAGCAGGCCCAGGGCUGCUGCUGAAGCCUCAGUGUCUGCCACUCCAGAGAACAGCUCACUCAACUAUCGGGGUGCAUUCUCUUUCGUUCUGACUGUUGCUACUGCUUAUGGGGUCCAAAUUGUCUCCUUUUCUACAGGAGUGUGAUGACAAGAACAGCUCAGGUGUGAACUUUGAGGAAGGAAAGCAAAAGCACAGCUUCCAGACCACAGGACCUGGCAGGACACUGCCUGUGGAGUUAGCCUCUGCGGCCACAACUGAAGUCAGACUACUCUCUUGGUUUGCUUGGUCACUUCAAGCUCUGCCUUGGAUGUUACCACGCCCCCCUGCACCCGACACACACAAAGGUCAAUGUUUGGAGCUUUGUCCCUAUGGAUAUGGUGUUGGGAAAUCAUAGAAUCUUAAGAGGCAAGGACUAAGAGAGAUUCUAGAUCAUGAAGUUGGGAUGCCCUUGAAAUAGACCUUGACCAGUUCAAGAUGGUUGUUAGAAAAAGCUUGAGACUGACCCUUGAGUUGCAACCUGGCUUUCUGGUUCAAAGUGUGGUCCCUUUGUCUCAGUUACACUUCUACUAGUGUCUCCAGUCAUUAGGGGAUGCAGCUAAAAUGGAAGGCAAGAUAGGGGUAGGGGACCUCACCAGAGCCUAUACACUAGGCCACUUGGAUUCCCAGCCUUUAUGCUUAUGAGCUAAAUUAUCCUCUUUUCUUUAUAAAGUCCCCCUGUUUCAGUCUUCUUGUUGUUGCUACCUGUUGUGGUUUAAGUCUGAAACGUGCCCCCAUCUUAUGCCUGAAUAUGUUUGACUGCCUGUCCCCCAACUGGUGGUACAACGCUAGGCUGUCGUGGACACUCCGAAGUGUGUGGCUUGCUGAUAGAGAUGGUUUACUAGAGGGAUGCCUUUGAAGCUCACAACUACUUCUGGGUCUGCCUUGCUAUCUCUUGUUAUCUGCCUUGCUUCACGGUGUGAGGGGCACCAGCUCUCCACCACUCCAGCCCCCCUCCUCACUUCCAUGGACUCUGUCUAGGUUUCCCUGCUGUAAUAGAUUGAAACCAUGGGCUAAAAUAAAAAUGUCUUCUAAGAUCUA
This is a long non-coding RNA of Rattus norvegicus (Norway rat), 3010 nucleotides long. RefSeq lists it as uncharacterized. Lineage: Eukaryota; Metazoa; Chordata; Mammalia; Rodentia; Muridae. The record is from RefSeq and is a predicted model, not a curated record.